AACGAUGUCGACUUGGAGGUUGUUCCCUUGAGGAGUGGCUUCCGGAGCUAACGCGUUAAGUCGACCGCCUGGGGAGUACGGCCGCAAGGUUAAAACUCAAAUGAAUUGACGGGGGCCCGCACAAGCGGUGGAGCAUGUGGUUUAAUUCGAUGCAACGCGAAGAACCUUACCUACUCUUGACAUCCACGGAAUUUGGCAGAGAUGCCUUAGUGCCUUCGGGAACCGUGAGACAGGUGCUGCAUGGCUGUCGUCAGCUCGUGUUGUGAAAUGUUGGGUUAAGUCCCGCAACGAGCGCAACCCUUAUCCUUUGUUGCCAGCGAUUCGGUCGGGAACUCAAAGGAGACUGCCGGUGAUAAACCGGAGGAAGGUGGGGAUGACGUCAAGUCAUCAUGGCCCUUACGAGUAGGGCUACACACGUGCUACAAUGGCGCAUACAAAGAGAAGCGACCUCGCGAGAGCAAGCGGACCUCAUAAAGUGCGUCGUAGUCCGGAUCGGAGUCUGCAACUCGACUCCGUGAAGUCGGAAUCGCUAGUAAUCGUGGAUCAGAAUGCCACGGUGAAUACGUUCCCGGGCCUUGUACACACCGCCCGUCACACCAUGGGAGUGGGUUGCAAAAGAAGUAGGUAGCUUAACCUUCGGGAGG
Molecule: ribosomal RNA, 644 nt
Filed under: Pantoea ananatis
Lineage: Bacteria; Pseudomonadati; Pseudomonadota; Gammaproteobacteria; Enterobacterales; Erwiniaceae
Also listed under: 1 other name
Description: bacterial SSU rRNA
Rfam family: Bacterial small subunit ribosomal RNA
Source: RNAcentral